This 450-nucleotide ribosomal RNA is filed under the name uncultured bacterium. Its description in RNAcentral is "partial 16S ribosomal RNA". It matches the Rfam family "Bacterial small subunit ribosomal RNA", at positions 354 to 796 of the family's 1533-position model. The record is from RNAcentral.
GUGGGGAAUUUUGGACAAUGGGCGCAAGCCUGAUCCAGCAAUGCCGCGUGUGUGAAGAAGGCCUUCGGGUUGUAAAGCACUUUUGUCCGGAAAGAAAUCUCCUGGGUUAAUACCUCGGGGGGAUGACGGUACCGGAAGAAUAAGCACCGGCUAACUACGUGCCAGCAGCCGCGGUAAUACGUAGGGUGCGAGCGUUAAUCGGAAUUACUGGGCGUAAAGCGUGCGCAGGCGGCUAUGCAAGACAGAUGUGAAAUCCCCGGGCUCAACCUGGGAACUGCAUUUGUGACUGCAUGGCUAGAGUGCGUCAGAGGGAGGUGGAAUUCCGCGUGUAGCAGUGAAAUGCGUAGAGAUGCGGAGGAACACCGAUGGCGAAGGCAGCCUCCUGGGAUGACACUGACGCUCAUGCACGAAAGCGUGGGGAGCAAACAGGAUUAGAAACCCUGGUAGUCC